This 170-nucleotide non-coding RNA is filed under the name pig gut metagenome. RNAcentral describes it as "Lysine riboswitch". It matches the Rfam family "Lysine riboswitch aptamer". Rfam says of the family: Riboswitches are metabolite binding domains within certain messenger RNAs that serve as precision sensors for their corresponding targets. Allosteric rearrangement of mRNA structure is mediated by ligand binding, and this results in modulation of gene expression. The record is from RNAcentral.
CAGAGGCGCAUGCUUCAAGAGUACCGCGGGAAAGGAACAGGGGUUCCGCCACGAUCCCGCCGGGAAAGGGACGCAUGCCGAAAGCACCGCUCCCCCUGACAGCGGCGGCUUGGGCGCAGGGUCAACAAUGCUGCGACUGUCAUCGGGCAUGUUCGCCCGGCGGAGCGCUG